GGGGUGCAAAAGUACAUCCAUCUCCUUCAAGCCUUACUGACGCAGGUAGAGAAAUCCUUCAGAAGGAUCCUUCAAGCCCAGGAAGUUUAGGAAUAGCUAUUUCAGAAGCUGUGGAGGUUGCAGCAACAAAUGCUGAUACCAAGUAUUGCCUGGGCAGUGUACUUAAUCAUGUUUUGUUACACCAGACUAUUAUAGGCGAGGAGUGCCUAAAGCAAAUGGAAGCCAUAGGUGAAACCCCUGAUUUGAUCAUAGGUUGUACUGGUGGUGGGUCCAACUUUGCAGGGCUGAGUUUCCCCUUCAUUAGAGAGAAGCUCAGUGGGAAAAUCAACCCUGUCAUAAGAGCAGUUGAACCUACAGCAUGCCCUUCGCUAACAAAGGGUGUUUAUGCGUAUGAUUAUGGUGAUACAGCAGGGAUGACUCCAUUAAUGAAGAUGCAUACACUAGGGCAUGACUUCAUUCCUGACCCUAUUCAUGCUGGGGGCUUGCGAUACCAUGGUAUGGCACCAUUGAUUUCACAUGUCCAUGAAUUGGGUUUCAUGGAAGCAAUUGCAAUUCCUCAGACUGAGUGCUUUCAAGGUGCCUUACAAUUUGCUAGAUCUGAAGGGAUAAUACCUGCACCAGAGCCAACUCAUGCAAUUGCUGCCACCAUCAGGGAGGCUAUCCAUUGUAGAGAAACUGGAGAAGCAAAGGUUAUUCUCAUGGCAAUGUGUGGACAUGGCCAUUUUGACCUAACGUCUUACGAAAAGUAUUUGCGAGGAAAUAUGGUGGACUUGUCAUUUGCAGAAGAGAAAAUACAAGCAUCAUUAGCCAGAGUUCCUCAGGUAGCAUGAAGUGAAGCAAACAUGAAAGAUGCUACGUAAAAUGAACUUUGAAAUGAAAAAUAAUUAGAAGGUGACAAAGUUUCAUAACCGUGAUGCCUGUUUAAAGUUUCAUAAUCGUGAUGCCUGUUU
This 950-nucleotide unclassified non-coding RNA is filed under the name Hevea brasiliensis (rubber tree). Lineage: Eukaryota; Viridiplantae; Streptophyta; Magnoliopsida; Malpighiales; Euphorbiaceae. The record is from RNAcentral.